CGGAAGUGUAUUAUCUAUUUAGAUUUUUCCUGUAUUUCCAGUAUAUAAGGCAGGUGUUGAUGUCGAUUACACAGGUGGAUAGAUGACAUUUCGAGAUGAAGUUCAUAGCGCUGUUUAUGGCUGUACUGGUGAUUGUGUUUGCCGUUGUGAGCGGCAUGGGCAUCGGCGGCAACGCAGCGUUGUCGCACAACAACGAGAAGGCUGGUUGCGGCGGCGGCGGUGGACGUGGCCCCCCACCACCACCCCCCUCUAACAGUUCGGGUUAAUCAU
Molecule: long non-coding RNA, 270 nt
Organism: Cydia splendana
Lineage: Eukaryota; Metazoa; Arthropoda; Insecta; Lepidoptera; Tortricidae
Exons: 3
Source: RefSeq, a predicted model, not a curated record